RNAcentral lists this ribosomal RNA (1601 nucleotides) under Salmonella enterica subsp. enterica serovar Cerro. Its description in RNAcentral is "partial 23S ribosomal RNA". It matches the Rfam family "Bacterial large subunit ribosomal RNA", at positions 1217 to 2802 of the family's 2925-position model. Lineage: Bacteria; Pseudomonadati; Pseudomonadota; Gammaproteobacteria; Enterobacterales; Enterobacteriaceae. The record is from RNAcentral.
UGUGUUGUUGGGUAGGGGAGCGUUCUGUAAGCCUGUGAAGGUGUGCUGUGAGGCAUGCUGGAGGUAUCAGAAGUGCGAAUGCUGACAUAAGUAACGAUAAAGCGGGUGAAAAGCCCGCUCGCCGGAAGACCAAGGGUUCCUGUCCAACGUUAAUCGGGGCAGGGUGAGUCGACCCCUAAGGCGAGGCCGAAAGGCGUAGUCGAUGGGAAACGGGUUAAUAUUCCCGUACUUGGUGUUACUGCGAAGGGGGGACGGAGAAGGCUAUGUUGGCCGGGCGACGGUUGUCCCGGUUUAAGCGUGUAGGCUGGUUUUCCAGGCAAAUCCGGAAAAUCAAGGCUGAGGCGUGAUGACGAGGCACUACGGUGCUGAAGCAACAAAUGCCCUGCUUCCAGGAAAAGCCUCUAAGCAUCAGGUAACAUCAAAUCGUACCCCAAACCGACACAGGUGGUCAGGUAGAGAAUACCAAGGCGCUUGAGAGAACUCGGGUGAAGGAACUAGGCAAAAUGGUGCCGUAACUUCGGGAGAAGGCACGCUGACACGUAGGUGAAGUGAUUUACUCAUGGAGCUGAAGUCAGUCGAAGAUACCAGCUGGCUGCAACUGUUUAUUAAAAACACAGCACUGUGCAAACACGAAAGUGGACGUAUACGGUGUGACGCCUGCCCGGUGCCGGAAGGUUAAUUGAUGGGGUCAGCGCAAGCGAAGCUCCUGAUCGAAGCCCCGGUAAACGGCGGCCGUAACUAUAACGGUCCUAAGGUAGCGAAAUUCCUUGUCGGGUAAGUUCCGACCUGCACGAAUGGCGUAAUGAUGGCCAGGCUGUCUCCACCCGAGACUCAGUGAAAUUGAACUCGCUGUGAAGAUGCAGUGUACCCGCGGCAAGACGGAAAGACCCCGUGAACCUUUACUAUAGCUUGACACUGAACAUUGAGCCUUGAUGUGUAGGAUAGGUGGGAGGCUUUGAAGUGUGGACGCCAGUCUGCAUGGAGCCGACCUUGAAAUACCACCCUUUAAUGUUUGAUGUUCUAACGUGGACCCGUGAUCCGGGUUGCGGACAGUGUCUGGUGGGUAGUUUGACUGGGGCGGUCUCCUCCUAAAGAGUAACGGAGGAGCACGAAGGUUGGCUAAUCCUGGUCGGACAUCAGGAGGUUAGUGCAAUGGCAUAAGCCAGCUUGACUGCGAGCGUGACGGCGCGAGCAGGUGCGAAAGCAGGUCAUAGUGAUCCGGUGGUUCUGAAUGGAAGGGCCAUCGCUCAACGGAUAAAAGGUACUCCGGGGAUAACAGGCUGAUACCGCCCAAGAGUUCAUAUCGACGGCGGUGUUUGGCACCUCGAUGUCGGCUCAUCACAUCCUGGGGCUGAAGUAGGUCCCAAGGGUAUGGCUGUUCGCCAUUUAAAGUGGUACGCGAGCUGGGUUUAGAACGUCGUGAGACAGUUCGGUCCCUAUCUGCCGUGGGCGCUGGAGAACUGAGGGGGGCUGCUCCUAGUACGAGAGGACCGGAGUGGACGCAUCACUGGUGUUCGGGUUGUCAUGCCAAUGGCACUGCCCGGUAGCUAAAUGCGGAAGAGAUAAGUGCUGAAAGCAUCUAAGCACGAAACUUGCCCCGA